GGAGACUGCUAGCAAACCCCUUCCUAACAGGAACCAGAGCGGGAGCAGCAGAGCCGCGGAGCCCAGGAGCCCAGGAGCCCAGGGACAGGGGAACUGGUCUCCACUUCCCCAGCAUUCUGAGGGGGAGCGGGGACUUGACCGGAGUCUUUAGGAAGUUAACUUUCAUUGGCAUGGCUUCUCAUUCCCAGACACAGAGAGGGUCUCUUCAGAAGAUCCCUGAAUGAGGUGGCACCAUGAGACACCUUACUGGGCCAUCUAUGUCCAGUAUGGGGCAGGCAGCAGCCUGCUUGAUGU
Molecule: long non-coding RNA, 294 nt
Filed under: Mus pahari (shrew mouse)
Lineage: Eukaryota; Metazoa; Chordata; Mammalia; Rodentia; Muridae
Description: lncRNA (MGP_PahariEiJ_G0003800.1)
Source: RNAcentral